AUUGAACGCUGGCGGCAUGCCUUACACAUGCAAGUCGAACGACGUUACGGGGGCAACUCCGUAGCGAGUGGCGAACGGGUGAGUAAUGCAUCGGAACGUGCCCUCUUGUGGGGGAUAACCAGUCGAAAGAUUGGCUAAUACCGCAUGAGCUCGAGAGAGGAAAGCGGGGGAUCCGCAAGGACCUCGCGCGAGAGGAGCGGCCGAUGCCCGAUUAGCUAGUUGGNGGGGUAAAAGCCCACCAAGGCGACGAUCGGUAGCUGGUCUGAGAGGACGACCAGCCACACUGGGACUGAGACACGGCCCAGACUCCUACGGGAGCAGCAGUGGGGAAUUUUGGACAAUGGGGGCAACCCUGAUCCAGCCAUGCCGCGUGGUGUGAAGAAGG
Molecule: ribosomal RNA, 385 nt
Filed under: uncultured bacterium
Lineage: Bacteria
Description: bacterial SSU rRNA
Rfam family: Bacterial small subunit ribosomal RNA
Source: RNAcentral